RNAcentral lists this ribosomal RNA (467 nucleotides) under uncultured bacterium. RNAcentral's name for it is "partial 16S ribosomal RNA". It matches the Rfam family "Bacterial small subunit ribosomal RNA", at positions 28 to 506 of the family's 1533-position model. The record is from RNAcentral.
GACGAACGCUGGCGGCGUGCUUAACACAUGCAAGUCGAACGGAAAGGCCCUGCUUUUGUGGGGUGCUCGAGUGGCGAACGGGUGAGUAACACGUGAGUAACCUGCCCUUGACUUUGGGAUAACUUCAGGAAACUGGGGCUAAUACCGGAUAGGAGCUCCUGCUGCAUGGUGGGGGUUGGAAAGUUUCGGCGGUUGGGGAUGGACUCGCGGCUUAUCAGCUUGUUGGUGGGGUAGUGGCUUACCAAGGCUUUGACGGGUAGCCGGCCUGAGAGGGUGACCGGCCACAGAGGAACUGGGAUACGGCCCAGACUCAUACGGGAGGCAGGAGUGGAGAAUAUUGCACAAUGGGCGGAAGACUGAUGCAGGAACGCCGCGUGCGGGAAGACGGCCUUCGGGUUGUAAACCGCUUUCGCUUGUGACGAAGCGUGAGUGACGGAAAUGGGUAAAGAGGCACCGGCGAACUACUU